RNAcentral lists this ribosomal RNA (245 nucleotides) under uncultured bacterium. Its description in RNAcentral is "partial 16S ribosomal RNA". It matches the Rfam family "Bacterial small subunit ribosomal RNA", at positions 524 to 768 of the family's 1533-position model. The record is from RNAcentral.
UACGGAGGGUGCGAGCGUUGUUCGGAAUUAUUGGGCGUAAAGCGCGUGUAGGCGGUUUUUUAAGUCUGAUGUGAAAGCCCCGGGCUCAACUUGGGAAGUGCAUUGGAAACUGAGAGACUUGAAUACGGGAGAGGGUAGUGGAAUUCCUGGUGUAGGAGUGAAAUCCGUAGAUAUCAGGAGGAACGCCGGUGGCGAAGGCGGCUGCCUGGACCGAUAUUGACGCUGAGACGCGAAAGCGUGGGGAG